UAUGGCUAGUGUAAUUCUAAUAGCUUGUCUUGCUAUAUUGGGUUUAAUCAUAGCAAUUUCUCUUUUUUUGGCUGGAGGAUAUUUGUGGUGGAGGCACAAAAGAUCCCAAUUGCAGUUUAUUGAGCCAAAUGAAGAUGAGGAGUCAAGUAGUUACAGUCUUAGAGCUGCACAGGAUAUCACUGACACCGGAAAUCCACCAAUAAAACCACAAAUUCCGAUGACUCCGGCUUCUACAAAUCAGCUUCAAAACAACAUCAACAAAAAGUUAAAUGGAUUUUUAAGCCUAAGAACACCUUUAAUUGGCUCAACGGCGCAACCCUCAAAGCCACUAAAUAUGUCUCAUGCUGGAAAUUUAAGUGAUAGCACAACAAAAGAUGCGACAAAUAAGAGUAUCUCUAUGACGGAUAUGUAUCUUGAUAGCACGGAUUCGAGUGAAAAUGUUGGACAAAUACACUUUUCUUUGGAAUAUGAUUUUCAAAAUACAACUUUAAUAUUAAAAGUCCUACAAGGAAAAGAACUUCCAGCUAAAGAUCUAAGUGGAACUUCCGAUCCUUACGUUAGAGUCACUUUACUGCCAGAUAAAAAGCAUAGAUUGGAAACCAAAAUUAAACGAAGAACCUUAAAUCCACGUUGGAAUGAAACAUUUUAUUUUGAAGGAUUUCCUAUACAAAAACUGCAAUCUCGUGUUUUGCACCUGCAUGUUUUUGACUACGAUCGGUUCUCAAGAGAUGACUCCAUAGGAGAAGUGUUCUUACCCCUCUGCCAGGUCGAUUUUGCCGGUAAGCAGUCAUUUUGGAAAGCCCUAAAGCCCCCUGCAAAGGAUAAAUGUGGAGAACUUCUUUCAUCACUUUGUUAUCAUCCUUCUAAUUCUAUUUUGACUCUGACGUUGAUUAAAGCCAGAAACCUCAAGGCUAAGGAUAUUAAUGGAAAAUCUGAUUUGACUACGACUCAGAGACCUACCGUUACUCCCGGGAGUCCAAGAUCGAUAAAGUUGGCCGCAUAAAGCUCUACGGACAAACAACGCACAAAAACAACCCAAUGACGUAUAGCCUUUACGGAUGAUGCCACUAAAGGGCGCUAGAUUCAAAAAGUCCUAUUUACUUUGGAACGCACCUUGUAUGUAGAUCCUUACGUAAAAGUGUGGCUUCAAUUCGGAGACAAAAAAGUGGAAAAGAGAAAAACGCC
Molecule: unclassified non-coding RNA, 1185 nt
Filed under: Drosophila ananassae
Lineage: Eukaryota; Metazoa; Arthropoda; Insecta; Diptera; Drosophilidae
Description: GF20608
Source: RNAcentral